RNAcentral lists this long non-coding RNA (694 nucleotides) under Salmo salar (Atlantic salmon). Its description in RNAcentral is "lncRNA (ENSSSAG00000089797.1)". The record is from RNAcentral. Lineage: Eukaryota; Metazoa; Chordata; Actinopteri; Salmoniformes; Salmonidae.
UAAUGAAGCAUUCACAGAGGACGAGACCAGGCGUAAUCGCAAGAGGUGAAGUCAUAAUUACCCAGCAUUAUCUGUAAUCACACACCUUCACUGAGACAGGCAAGCAAGCAUGCACAGUCACAUGUACCGUAGGUCACAUACAACAUUGGAAACAGAAAACGAACAACAAUAUGAAACAGAAUAUAAUUUCCUGGGAUCCAAGCUGUAGGCGGAGUGUGUGUGUGUGUUAAUGAGUCAUUCACAGCGGACGAGACGAGGCGUAAUCACAGAGGUGAAGUCAUGAGAGAGAGAGAGAGAGAGAGAGAGAGAGAGAGAGAGAGAGAGAGAGAGAGAGAGAGAGAGAGAGAGAGAGAGAGAGAGAGAAGGGAAUGAACAAGGAGAGGGAGCAGGUAGAGAUCAGAGAGAAUGAACAAGGAGAGAAGGAGAGGGAGCAGGUAGAGAUCAGAGAGAAUGAACAAGGAGAGAAGGAGAGGGAGCAGGUAGAGAUCAGAGAGAAUGAACAAGGAGAGAAGGAGAGGGAGCAGGUAGAGAUCAGAGAGAAUGAACAAGGAGAGAAGGAGAGGGAGCAGGUAGAGAUCAGAGAAUCAACAAGGAGAGGAUGAAAGAGCAACAAGAUCUCAUGGUCUCACCAAUUUGACUUCAGAUUCUGACGUUUAACUUCUUACAUCUAGAUGUUCCGCUAGCGGAACGCCUC